GUGGGGAAUCUUAGACAAUGGGCGCAAGCCUGAUCUAGCCAUGCCGCGUGAGUGAAGAAGGCCUUAGGGUCGUAAAGCUCUUUCGCCAGGGAUGAUAAUGACAGUACCUGGUAAAGAAACCCCGGCUAACUCCGUGCCAGCAGCCGCGGUAAUACGGAGGGGGUUAGCGUUGUUCGGAAUUACUGGGCGUAAAGCGCGCGUAGGCGGACAUUUAAGUUAGAGGUGAAAUCCCAGGGCUCAACCCUGGAACUGCCUUUAAUACUGGGUGUCUUGAGUUCGAGAGAGGUGAGUGGAAUUCCGAGUGUAGAGGUGAAAUUCGUAGAUAUUCGGAGGAACACCAGUGGCGAAGGCGGCUCACUGGCUCGAUACUGACGCUGAGGUGCGAAAGCGUGGGGAGCAAACAGGAUUAGAAACCCUAGUAGUCC
Molecule: ribosomal RNA, 425 nt
Filed under: uncultured bacterium
Lineage: Bacteria
Description: bacterial SSU rRNA
Rfam family: Bacterial small subunit ribosomal RNA
Source: RNAcentral